GUCCGGGGGGAGGGAAGGAGGACGGCUGUAAUCUCCAGCUGCAAUUCCUCCCACGCAUCACAUGCGCCGUCGUGGAUAACAUAACGUGGGGGGGUAUGGAAGUUGGGGGCAGUGACAAAGUGGCAGUGGCUAUGGCAUCUAGCCCAUAAGAAGAGGGACCCACGCAGGCGGGUGUCCAUCCGAGGUCCGGAGCCACGGCUCGGAUCGACGCGGACGCUCCCCGACGGGCUUCCUCGCGUGUCUGUGGUUGUCGCAGGCCAGAGAAAACGUCCAGUAACCAGAUCCCAGCGGAGCGGUCGGGGUCAUUGUCAUGUUGACAGUGAAGCGGGAAGAAGAGCAGCCAGACGCUGUCAGUCAAGACACCUCCUGUGCACCCUCCCACCACCACCCCCACCCACAGCGUGACGUUACAGGUGACUUGAAUGUGGAUCCUCUAUCCACCCUGCACUUCAGGUUGACUUCUUAAAGUUUGGGUCGUAAAAAACUGUGUACAAGAUGGAUGAUUCAAUCACAGUGGUAACAGACACCUCCCCCUCUCCCCUUUGAACACUAAGGACACAAGUGGAGGACGGAACAUUCCGGAAGCGCUCUAUGUGGUCGACAUCAACUCAACAGCACUUAAGAGCAGCAACCACUGUCUCCGCCUCAUGUCUGCACGAGUUGAAUUUUUCGUGUGCCGUGGAGGGUUAAAUUACAUAAACUUCGAUAUUUAAAUGAUCAUGAUAUUUGCAAAUAAUCAUAUCAGUUGUAACGAACUCUGCUUUUGGAAGCAGCUCCUUUAUUUUUUUCUGUUAUCGUGUUACAUUUAGUCCACCACACCCCCCCCCCCCCGGCAUUGCUUAUUUUCG
RNAcentral lists this long non-coding RNA (848 nucleotides) under Scleropages formosus (Asian bonytongue). Its description in RNAcentral is "lncRNA (ENSSFOG00015025213.1)". The record is from RNAcentral. Lineage: Eukaryota; Metazoa; Chordata; Actinopteri; Osteoglossiformes; Osteoglossidae.